This is a non-coding RNA of Podarcis lilfordi (Lilford's wall lizard), 67 nucleotides long. NCBI's taxonomy places the organism in Eukaryota, Metazoa, Chordata, Lepidosauria, Squamata, Lacertidae. The record is from the annotation of a GenBank genome assembly.
GAGCUCAGGAGGUUAGAGUGUGGUACUGAUAAUGCCAAGGUUGCAGGUUCGAUCCCCAUAUGAGACA